GACGGAGGAGGCAAGCGUUGUCCGGAAUCAUUGGGCGUAAAGAGCGCGUAGGCUGUUUUUCAAGUCGUAUGUGAAAACCUCAGGCUCAACUUGAGGAUUGCAUAUGAAACUGGAUAACUUGAGUGCAGUAGGGGAAAGCGGAAUUCCUGGUGUAGCGGUGAAAUGCGCAGAUAGCAGGAAGAACACCAGUAGCGAAGGCGGCUUUCUGGGCUGCUACUGACGCUGAGGCGCGAAAGCUAGGGGAGCAAACAGG
RNAcentral lists this ribosomal RNA (253 nucleotides) under uncultured bacterium. RNAcentral's name for it is "partial 16S ribosomal RNA". It matches the Rfam family "Bacterial small subunit ribosomal RNA", at positions 524 to 776 of the family's 1533-position model. The record is from RNAcentral.